RNAcentral lists this ribosomal RNA (458 nucleotides) under uncultured bacterium. Its description in RNAcentral is "bacterial SSU rRNA". It matches the Rfam family "Bacterial small subunit ribosomal RNA", at positions 340 to 786 of the family's 1533-position model. The record is from RNAcentral.
UACGGAAGGCAGCGAGUGGGGAAUAUUGCACAAUGGGCGAAAGCCUGAUGCAGCUAUGCCGCGUGUAUGAAGAAGGCCUUAGGGUUGUAAAGUACUUUCAUCGGGGAGGAAAAACAAAACUAAUAAUUUUAUUUCUUGACGUUACCCGAAAAAGAAGCACCGGCUAACUCCGUGCCAGCAGCCGCGGUAAUACGGAGGGUGCUAGCGUUAAUCAGAAUUACUGGGCGUAAAGAGCACGUAGGUGGUUUUUUUAAAGUCAGAUGUGAAAUUCCCUGGGCUUAACCUAGGAACUGCAUUUUGAAACUGAAAUACUAGAGUAUCGUAGAGGGAGGUAGAAUUCUAGGUGUAGCGGUGAAAUGCGUAGAUAUCUGGAGGAAUACCUGUGGCGAAAGCGGCCUCCUAAACGAAUACUGACACUGAGGGUGCGAAAGCGUGGGGAGCAAACAGGAUUAGAUACC